GAUGAACGCUGGCGGCGUGCCUAACACAUGCAAGUCGAACGAAGCACCUUACCUGAUUCUUCGGAUGAAGGUCUGGUGACUGAGUGGCGGACGGGUGAGUAACGCGUGGGUAACCUGCCCUGUACAGGGGGAUAACAGCUGGAAACGGCUGCUAAUACCGCAUAAGCGCACGAGGAGACAUCUCCUAGUGUGAAAAACUCCGGUGGUACAGGAUGGGCCCGCGUCUGAUUAGCUGGUUGGCAGGGUAACGGCCUACCAAGGCAACGAUCAGUAGCCGGUCUGAGAGGAUGAACGGCCACAUUGGAACUGAGACACGGUCCAAACUCCUACGGGAGGUAGCAGUGGGGAAUAUUGCACAAUGGGGGAAACCCUGAUGCAGCAACGCCGCGUGAGUGAAGAAGUAUUUCGGUAUGUAAAGCUCUAUCAGCAGGGAAGAUAAUGACGG
This 445-nucleotide ribosomal RNA is filed under the name uncultured bacterium. RNAcentral describes it as "bacterial SSU rRNA". It matches the Rfam family "Bacterial small subunit ribosomal RNA", at positions 28 to 457 of the family's 1533-position model. The record is from RNAcentral.